Molecule: long non-coding RNA, 709 nt
Organism: Capsicum annuum
Lineage: Eukaryota; Viridiplantae; Streptophyta; Magnoliopsida; Solanales; Solanaceae
Exons: 3
Source: RefSeq, a predicted model, not a curated record
GAAUAUAAAUGAGACAACUUUUAGCGUCACUUUCCACAAUAAACCCGAAUUGGACAAUGCCAAUCUCUAAUUAUUUUCUCGUACUUCAUCCUCUUUGUUGAGCUUCAAAUUUUUUCCCAAUUCUCCAAUGCCUUAUGUUCUUUUUCAGAAAGGUUACGAUUGGAGUUUAAGCAGAUGCUCGGAGCACGUGCUUUUGCUAGAGAUCAUAUGAACACAAUGAAUCAUCAGAUUUAUGAUUAUUUGGGAUACAUAUGGAUUCUUCAGACCACUUUAACUCAGGGAGUUCAAUGACUUCUUUGGUUAGCAGUUCAUCAAGAAUCGCAGGCAUGUCGGAGUCGGAAAAAGGAUAUACCUUUGCUUGUAACUUCUUUAAAGUUGAUUGAUUUUUUAUUUCUCGUGUUUGUUGAUUCAGAGCUUUCUCUUUCAAUUUUUGUCUUGUGGAGGCCUUUGUAGAACUCACUGUUAUUGCCAUGGAUUCCCUAGUUUGGUCUUUUGAUGAGUCAUUGAAUUUUGUGGCUUUUUUUUUUUGGAUCAAAGACUGGUGAUGUCAUUCCAUGACUUGCAAUACAUAGCUCCAUAUUGUGAGAGCACAUAGCUAAUUCUUCAAAAGUUCAAGGCUUAAUCCCUUGGAGGAUAUACACAAGGCCCCAAUGCAUUCUUGAAUGCAAACUUUAAUUGUAGAAGUUUCAGAAAGUUGAUCCUUGCAAUC